Dendrobium catenatum is the source of this 2508-nucleotide RNA transcript. It is a transcript of the gene named cell wall integrity protein scw1, with no coding region annotated. The record is from RefSeq and is a predicted model, not a curated record. NCBI's taxonomy places the organism in Eukaryota, Viridiplantae, Streptophyta, Magnoliopsida, Asparagales, Orchidaceae. The transcript has 10 exons.
CUUUGAAAAGCUUCUCUGUGCAGUCCGCUGCAGGGGUCUACGGUCCCGCACCUCAGCGACGAAAGAGUUAGGGUUUACUCCUCAUGGCAGGUCCCGGCAUACAUCACUUCCACCAGCCAUGGGCUCAGCUUGCGCCCCCGCCGCCAUCAAUCUCUACUCCUCCAUCCAUCGCCGUUCCUGCCCGCCCAACGAACGACGAGGUUCGGACGAUCUUCAUCGCUGGCCUUCCUGCAGACGUGAAGGAGAGGGAGCUUCAUAACCUUCUGCGUUGGCUGCCUGGCUUCGAGGCGUCUCAGAUCAACUCGAAAGGGGAUCUGCCCAUGGGUUUCGCUCUUUUCUCCACUGCCCAGCAUGCUAUGGCCGCUAAAACUGCGCUCCAGGACUUGGUGUUUGAUGCGGAUUCAAAGUCCGCUCUUCAUACAGAGAUGGCGAAGAAAAAUCUUUUUGUUAAGAGAGGUGUUGGGGCUGAUUUCAGCUCCUUUGACCAAAGCAAACGCAUAAGAACUGGUGGGGAAUAUGCUCAAUCUGGUUAUCCAAGUCCUCCCUUGCACCCACAGCCCGCUUCCCUUUGGGCAACAUCAGGGUAUAUGGCUCCCCCUGUUCUUUAUGCCCCAUAUGGAGGAUAUCCAGUUACCCAGGUGGCUUUGCCUACCCCUGCUCCUGUGCCACCUCCAACGGUUUAUGCUCCUGUUCAGAAUACAAAAGACAAUCCUCCUUGUAAUACUCUUUUCGUUGGGAAUCUUGGAGAAAGUGUGAUAGAGGAAGAACUGAGAGGCCUCUUUAGCCUACAGCCGGGUUAUAAACAAAUGAAGAUCCUGCGUCAUGAAAGAAACACUGUUUGCUUUAUUGAGUUUGAUGAUGUAGCUAGUGCUACGAGCGUUCACAUAAAUUUACAGGGUGCUGUUCUGCCCAGUGCUGGUCGUACCGGCAUCAGGAUCCAGUUUUCAAAAAACCCCUUUGGGCGACGGAAGGACAUGAAUGGCACCGCUGCAGAAACCAAAGGAUGACUUAGCAGUCAAUUGAAGCAAUGUGCUGCUCUUUGGGCUUUCCCAUGAAGGCUAACAAAACCAAAAACAGUAAGUAUUUGUUGGUUUGAGUUAUGUGCAGAAUUAUUUUUGGUGAAGUUCUUGGUCAAAAGAUUGAACAGUGGAGCCAGCAGGCGUUGCUCAGAAUUUCUUUAACUGGGUAACAUUCAUGUUAAGUGCCUCAUUUUUGCCGGUGCUGAUACAAGAACAACCGUUGCUUUUAAUAUUCUAUCUUAGGCGUCGUUUGGGACGGCUUUAUUAUUGCUUUAUAAAAUAGUUUUUUAGUACAAAAAUUUUAAUUUUUUUAUUCGAAAGCUACGUUAAGAAGUAGUAAGAAAGCCGUACCAAACGAAGCCUUAAAAGCAGGCAAAAUUUUGUAGUUCAAAUAUUAAUCUUAGAAUCAAUAUGCCUCUUCUCCUGACAUUUAAGCCAUUUUAUUGAGUUCAAGUAGUGCAAUGAAAUUUUAAGCGAAGAUCUAUGUUCCUCUUGUUUAUGUCCCAUUUGUUACUAUUUGAUGGUUCUAAACAUCUACAAAUGAAGUAAUUAAAAAGCUAAUAAUAUUUUGCAUUUGCAAUCUUGAUAGAGUUUGAUAUGUUGAAAUCACUGAUCACUUUGUAAAAUGAAACCUGUGACAUGGUAAGCCCAUUGCCUAUUAAAAAUCUCAUCAUUUGUGUCACUCCAUUUCAGUUUUUGGAUUGAGAUUUGAGCAUCUAUAUAACACCAAAAACAGGAUUUCUUUUAUUUAAAGAUUUCAAUUGUUUUGGAUAAUUGGAUGAAUCUUUAGUAGAAUUGAGAUUGGAAUUCCUUCUAAUCCCUUUUGUCUUAAUAUUAAUAAAAUCCUUGUUUUAUGGGUGAGUAGUGAUUUAAUAAUUCCUUAAAACGUUCAUCCAAAACAAUUAAAUAAAAUUUUAAAAUAUUUAUAAUUUAAGAAAUUUUAGCUUCUCAUUUUUUCUUCCCAUGAAUUUUUUUUAUUUUAAUUUUUAGGGACUCGCCUUAGCUAGUUCCUCAGCAAAUAAUUUGGUUUUGAAAAUGAUAUUGAUUUUGCUAACCACUACAGAACAGUGGAGCUGACAAUGUAGCUUCUAAUGGUGUAUUUGAGCCUUUUAAGUUCUUCAAAGGAGCAUUGGAGCAGGAUGAUCAUGCAGAUGUAGCUUCCAAAGAGAGACUGGUCAGCCAAUUUUGCUAUUUGAUGCCCUUCUGAAUCAAAGAGGAGGAUCGCCUCUACAAACAAUAACAACAUCAAGCCUUUAUCCCACUACGUGGGGUUGGCUACAUGAAUUCUUUGAGAAGCCAGGAAAAGUAAGUCAAUAAAGAAUCAUGUGAGCAAAGGUACUCAUACAAACCGACGCGGUGGCUAGUGAUAGCCAACGGCGGCGCAGGUGAUGGGCAGUGGCGGUGCUAAUUGAAAUUCGUCUGGGAUAAAUUUUUUUCCUGCUUUUUAAAACAGUUUUUUAGUAUAAUUUUUUUUUAAAAUUUUAAAAAA